RNAcentral lists this long non-coding RNA (540 nucleotides) under Bos taurus (domestic cattle). Its description in RNAcentral is "long non-coding RNA NONBTAT025817". The record is from RNAcentral. Lineage: Eukaryota; Metazoa; Chordata; Mammalia; Artiodactyla; Bovidae.
ACUGUAUGCCCCAUUUUAAGUUUGAGUUGGGCAUGUUCUGUGAAUAAAUUUCAGAUAUUCACAGUGCAAAGGGCUUAACCUUUUUCAGAAGUGUUUAAAAUUUUUGCCUUUUGGUGUUUAUAAAAAUCACAAUUAUGUUGUUUUAAGACAUGUAAAAAUGUGCCAUUUGCUGUCCUUUUAAGAUGACAAUCAUGAACUGCAGAGAAGCCUGUCUUGGUUGACAAUCUCUUUAAAACAUUUCCAGGUUAAUAUUCCAUACACUUCUCUACCAAAAAAGUUAAGAAUUGCACCUUUAUGUAAAAAUCAAAAUUUAACAGAAAUAUCUUCAAGGACCUGUUCUUGAGGUAUUUGAUUAUAGUUUUCAAAUCGAUUUAUGCUAUCAUUAACCUGAUAUGGUCAGUUUAAAAAAUGAAUAUAUCAGUAUUAAGAAAUAAAUGGCAAAGAUGGGGACAUGUACUUAAAUAAUUUAGGUAACUUCUGGCAUUUGGUAGUCUGAAAUGGUUACAAAUUACAUUGUUAUAUAUAAAAUUUCAAAACUCU